RNA transcript from Cryptomeria japonica (Japanese cedar), 2051 nucleotides. RefSeq lists it as uncharacterized. NCBI's taxonomy places the organism in Eukaryota, Viridiplantae, Streptophyta, Pinopsida, Cupressales, Cupressaceae. The transcript has 2 exons. The record is from RefSeq and is a predicted model, not a curated record.
UAUCUUCAUCUGCUAUGGUAGUUCUCCACUCGGUGAAAUCCUCUAAAUAUGAACAUUUAUACUAAAAAAACUCCAUAAUUUAGCUACAUUGUUCCUACAAGGUUAUGGGUUCUGUUCUGUUUCCUCCGCUGAAUGAGAUGGAGAUGGAGGAGCUUGCACACCUCGAAAAUGUCAAAAUAGAGCUCCUCAGACAGGAUUUCACUUGGAAAUACCAUGAACAACUCGCGGAGUUGGAACUUGCCUUCAGAUAAAGGCUUUAUCAAUCGCAUUUGCAUGCUAUAUCGCAAUACGAGGUCGAACCUACUAAGAACAUGGGACAGAAGAGAUCGAGACCUAUUGAUUUGGGAUCGCCUGAACAACAAAAGAGAGACAUAGCUGACAAUCUUGAUAAGAGGAAAAAGCAGAAGACAGAAAGGGGGAUGUUAAGUAAGAAGUUGCAGAAGGAUAGUUCAAAAUCUGUUGAUUCAAAAUUGCCUGAGGGACCGGGAUGGUGUUCAGUUUGUGAGGUUGACUGCAACACGGAAAAGGUUCUCAAGAGACACAUACUGGUGAAGAAGCAUCAAUCAAAUAUAAAAAUGUUCAAACAAGGCUCAGGAACAAGGUCUAUUGGUUCAAAAUUGCCUGAAAGACCAGGAUGGUGUUCACUUUGUGAGGUUGACUGCAACACAGAGAAAGAUCUUGAGCAACACAUUUUGGCAAAGAAUCACCAAUCGAUGUCAGAAAAGUUGGGAUAAGGCUUAGCAGGUGAGAGAAAAAAAUUCAAAGUAGCAGAAAUCUCUAACAGAGCAUAAACAAAAAGAGAGAGAUAUAAUUGACAAUCUUCAUGAACAAGAAAAACAGAUCACGAAAGAGGAUAUCCCUAGCAAGGAUAUGUUGGAAUAAGACUCAGGAGAUGGAAAAGAAGUGAAUUCAAAACAGCGAAAAUCACAAGCAGAACAUCAGCAACAAGAGAGAGGUAUGAUUAACAAUCUUGACAAAGGAGAAAAACAGAUGAUUGAAGGGGGUAUAUGUACUAUGAAGAUGCAACAAGAUGGUGCAACAUCUCUUGAUUCGGGAUUGCCUGAACGAUCAGGAUGGUGCUCACUGUGUGAGGUCAAUUGCAACACCGAGAAAGGUCUUAAGCAACACAAGUUGGCAAAGAAGCAUUGAUAGAUGUUUAAAAAGUUGGGACAAGGCUUAGCAUGUGGGAGAGAAGAAAACUCAAAGCAGCAGAAGCAACAAGAGAGAUAUAAUUGACAAUCUUCAUAAACAAGAAAAUCAGAUCACGAAAGAGGAUAUCCCUAGUAAGGACCUGCAGGAUGAUUGUUCAAGAUCUUUUGAUUCAGGAUUUUCUCAACAGCCAGGAUGGUGUACUCUCUGUAAGGUUCAGUGCACUAGUGAAAAAAAUCUUAAGCAACACAUUUUGGGGAAGAAACAUCAGUCAAAGGUAGUGAGUGAGUCACAUCCUUGAUGUCUAUGGAUAUAGUAGUAGCUCUUCCUGCUCCGAAUGUAGCGAGUGAACCACAUCCUGGACUGGGAAUCCUCCCUACUCCUAAAGUUCCUAGCAUAUAUGCUGCGGUUCCACCUCCGCCAAUCUAUAAAGGACAAAGAGGCAAAUGCUCGACACCAUCUAGAACUUCUAUCUCUCAACCUUUAGAGGUUCCUUCAAUUCCUCCUUUUCCUAGAGCAGAGGGGAAAAACAAAUCAAUGUUGAGUAAUACCCAACCUCAUUCUACAAAAGCUUCGAAGCGUAACCAACAAAAUCGUAGUGCGAGAGAACGCCGACAAAGAUGUCGUGUGCCAAGGCUCGUGAGCUUGCUGCAAGAAGUGAAUCUUCUCCUAGGCAGUUGAAUGUUGAUUUGGUCCUGCCUUCUCAGCCUUCCUUAUCAUCACCCAUCCCUUUAGAGGAGCCUUGGCAUCAUUUUUGGGUUACUUCAUGCUAUUCAAAUUUAGUUUAUUUUGCAAUCCAUAGUUCAAACUAAGAGAUUGAAUAUAAUGUACAUUAUUUUUUGAGGAGUUUUGUGAGGUCUAGAGCAUACUUUAUGCCAUUAUUACGAGAAUAGAGUAUAUUA